GUUCGUUGCUCUUCAUGUCCCGUUCGUGUGCUCCGGUAUCCCUGAUCGAAACUGUGUGUACCGACCUUCGCCUGUUCUCCGACCAACCUUGGCACCAUAAUAUUGCGUCCAUGCUACCAGCCAAGGUGCAUUCUGAAGUGACCAUGUUUUGUGAGCUGGGGGUUCUAUGGGCAGAAAUCCAAGGGGGCAGUGAUUGCCCUCACUGGUGAGGUGUUCCAGGCUCAUGGCACCUGGAGGAGACUUGGGGACAGACUGGAGAAACUGACUCCCUGUUGCGCUGUGAUCACCUCAGGAAUCCCCCAGAAGAGCUGAACAAAGUGGCUGGGGAGAGGGAAGACCGUGUUUCCCUGCUUUAGCUGUUGCUCCCAUGACUUAACCUUGGACAGGUAGAAGUAUAUGGAUGGAUGGAUUCAGCGAUUGCAUAAUGGGUGUAAAAACUAUUAAAAAUCAAGAUUUUUAGUACAUAUAAAAAAUUAGAGGAAGCUUAGUGAAUUUCUUCUCUCUCCUCCUCUAAAAUCCCUGACAUCAUGAAACUCUUAUUAUAUGACCAAUGCUGCAUUACGUUGGGUGCCAUUUUUUAACUGGAAUUACACUACUACACAGCACUGAGAGGGUAGCACUGUAUUAAGACCAAUUGGAAGGUCCUCCAAAAACCACUGGAGGAGACAAAGAUCAAGAGUAGUCGAAUGACUGAAUUUCUUUCCUACUGCAAAUGUGUCAGAUGUUUGUGGAUUUUCAGAAUAGGAAAAUAUUGCUUCUUUUCGAAACAAGCACAUUGGUUUUCCACCCAAAAAAAAAAAAAGCCAACAGCUGACACUAACAUCACCAGACCUUACGGGUGUGUUAAUUAUGAGAUUGGUCGCAUUUCUACCUUAAUUCGAGCCAGGAAAAACCCCGAUACUCAUGGAUUCUUCUUUGGUACAUACACUCCACCAUAAAGCUUCACAGAAGUUGUUCAACACCCAAGUCCCCUGCCUCCU
Long non-coding RNA from Syngnathoides biaculeatus (alligator pipefish), 980 nucleotides. RefSeq lists it as uncharacterized. The transcript has 3 exons. Lineage: Eukaryota; Metazoa; Chordata; Actinopteri; Syngnathiformes; Syngnathidae. The record is from RefSeq and is a predicted model, not a curated record.